UAAGGAAUAUUGGACAAUGGAGGCAACUCUGAUCCAGCCAUGCCGCGUGGAGGAAUAAGGCCCUAUGGGUUGUAAACUUCUUUUAGACGGGACAAAACCCCUUUACGUGUAAAGGGUUGAUGGUACUGUCAGAAUAAGCAUCGGCUAACUUCGUGCCAGCAGCCGCGGUAAUACGAAGGAUGCAAGCGUUAUCCGGAAUUAUUGGGUUUAAAGGGUGCGUAGGCGGACUAAUAAGUCAGUGGUGAAAGCCUGCAGCUUAACUGCAGAAUUGCCAUUGAUACUGUUAGUCUUGAGUACAGUUGAGGUAGGCGGAAUGUGUCAUGUAGCGGUGAAAUGCUUAGAUAUGACACAGAACACCGAUUGCGAAGGCAGCUUGCUAAGCUGUAACUGACGCUGAGGCACGAAAGCGUGGGGAGCAAACA
RNAcentral lists this ribosomal RNA (422 nucleotides) under uncultured bacterium. RNAcentral describes it as "bacterial SSU rRNA". It matches the Rfam family "Bacterial small subunit ribosomal RNA", at positions 355 to 774 of the family's 1533-position model. The record is from RNAcentral.